GGUAAGAUGGCCGAAGUCUAGGCGGUGGGUUGUAGCUCCAUAUAUAGAGGUUCAAGUCCUCUUCUUAUCA
This 70-nucleotide transfer RNA is filed under the name Hoplolatilus cuniculus (dusky tilefish). RNAcentral describes it as "tRNA-Tyr". It matches the Rfam family "tRNA". Rfam says of the family: Transfer RNA (tRNA) molecules are approximately 80 nucleotides in length. The record is from RNAcentral. Lineage: Eukaryota; Metazoa; Chordata; Actinopteri; Malacanthidae.